UACGUAGGGCGCAAGCGUUGUCCGGAAUUAUUGGGCGUAAAGAGCUCGUAGGCGGUCUGUCGCGUCGGAUGUGAAAAUCCAGGGCUCAACCCUGGACCUGCAUUCGAUACGGGCAGACUAGAGUUCGGUAGGGGAGACUGGAAUUCCUGGUGUAGCGGUGAAAUGCGCAGAUAUCAGGAGGAACACCGGUGGCGAAGGCGGGUCUCUGGGCCUUACCUGACGCUCAGGCGCGAAAGCUAGGGGAGCGAACAGG
RNAcentral lists this ribosomal RNA (253 nucleotides) under uncultured bacterium. RNAcentral's name for it is "partial 16S ribosomal RNA". It matches the Rfam family "Bacterial small subunit ribosomal RNA", at positions 524 to 776 of the family's 1533-position model. The record is from RNAcentral.